AUACGGAGGAUCCGAGCGUUAUCCGGAUUUAUUGGGUUUAAAGGGUGCGCAGGCGGGAGAUUAAGUCGGCGGUGAAAUUUUGCAGCUCAACUGUAAAAAUGCCUUCGAAACUGGUUUCCUUGAGUGUAGAUGAAGUAGGCGGAAUUUGUGGUGUAGCGGUGAAAUGCAUAGAUAUCACGAGGAACUCCGAUUGCGCAGGCAGCUUACUAAACUACUACUGACGCUCAGGCACGAAGGCGUGGGGAUCAAACAGGAUUAGAUACCCUGGUAGUCCACGCAGUAAACGAUGAUUACUAGCUGUUUGCGAUACAAUGUAAGCGGCUGAGCGAAAGCGUUAAGUAAUCCACCUGGGGAGUACGUUCGCGAGAAUGAAACUCAAAUGAAUUGACGGGG
RNAcentral lists this ribosomal RNA (393 nucleotides) under uncultured bacterium. Its description in RNAcentral is "partial 16S ribosomal RNA". It matches the Rfam family "Bacterial small subunit ribosomal RNA", at positions 523 to 918 of the family's 1533-position model. The record is from RNAcentral.